Non-coding RNA from Budorcas taxicolor (takin), 73 nucleotides. NCBI's taxonomy places the organism in Eukaryota, Metazoa, Chordata, Mammalia, Artiodactyla, Bovidae. The record is from the annotation of a RefSeq genome assembly.
UCCUUGAUGGUCCAGUGGCUAGGACUCUGUGCUCCCAAUGCAGAGGGCCCAGGUUUGGUCCCUGGUCAGGAAA